GUCCACGCCGUAAACGAUGUCGACUAGCCGUUGGGCCCUUAUGGGGUUUAGUGGCGCAGCUAACGCAUUAAGUCGACCGCCUGGGGAGUACGGCCGCAAGGUUAAAACUCAAAUGAAUUGACGGGGCCCGCACAAGCGGUGGAGCAUGUGGUUUAAUUCGAUGCAACGCGAAGAACCUUACCUACCCUUGACAUCCCCAGAAUUUGGCAGAGAUGCCUUAGUGCCUUCGGGAACUGGGAGACAGGUGCUGCAUGGCUGUCGU
RNAcentral lists this ribosomal RNA (262 nucleotides) under uncultured bacterium. RNAcentral describes it as "partial 16S ribosomal RNA". It matches the Rfam family "Bacterial small subunit ribosomal RNA", at positions 793 to 1055 of the family's 1533-position model. The record is from RNAcentral.